RNAcentral lists this transfer RNA (72 nucleotides) under Marmota monax (woodchuck). RNAcentral's name for it is "tRNA.Ala". The stretch from base 6 to 64 matches the Rfam family "tRNA", at positions 7 to 64 of the family's 71-position model. From Rfam's summary of the family: Transfer RNA (tRNA) molecules are approximately 80 nucleotides in length. The record is from RNAcentral. Lineage: Eukaryota; Metazoa; Chordata; Mammalia; Rodentia; Sciuridae.
UACAAGAAGCUCAAUGGUAGAGCAUUUGCCUAGCAUGCACAAGGUUCUGGGUUCAAUUCCCAGCACUGGGAA